GAUGAACGCUGGCGGCGUGCCUAAUACAUGCAAGUCGAGCGAACGGAUGAGGAGCUUGCUCCUCUGAUGUUAGCGGCGGACGGGUGAGUAACACGUGGAUAACCUACCUAUAAGACUGGGAUAACUUCGGGAAACCGGAGCUAAUACCGGAUAAUAUUUUGAACCGCAUGGUUCAAAAGUGAAAGAUGGUCUUGCUGUCACUUAUAGAUGGAUCCGCGCUGCAUUAGCUAGUUGGUAAGGUAACGGCUUACCAAGGCAACGAUGCAUAGCCGACCUGAGAGGGUGAUCGGCCACACUGGAACUGAGACACGGUCCAGACUCCUACGGGAGGCAGCAGUAGGGAAUCUUCCGCAAUGGGCGAAAGCCUGACGGAGCAACGCCGCGUGAGUGAUGAAGGUCUUCGGAUCGUAAAACUCUGUUAUUAGGGAAGAACAUAUGUGUAAGUAACUGUGCACAUCUUGACGGUACCUAAUCAGAAAGCCACGGCUAACUACGUG
RNAcentral lists this ribosomal RNA (497 nucleotides) under uncultured bacterium. RNAcentral's name for it is "partial 16S ribosomal RNA". It matches the Rfam family "Bacterial small subunit ribosomal RNA", at positions 28 to 507 of the family's 1533-position model. The record is from RNAcentral.